This 468-nucleotide ribosomal RNA is filed under the name uncultured bacterium. RNAcentral's name for it is "partial 16S ribosomal RNA". It matches the Rfam family "Bacterial small subunit ribosomal RNA", at positions 28 to 507 of the family's 1533-position model. The record is from RNAcentral.
GACGAACGCUGGCGGCGUGCUUAACACAUGCAAGUCGAACGGAAAGGCCCUGCUUUUGCGGGGUGCUCGAGUGGCGAACGGGUGAGUAACACGUGAGUAACCUGCCCUUGACUUUGGGAUAACUUCAGGAAACUGGGGCUAAUACCGGAUAGGAGCUCCUGCUGCAUGGUGGGGGUUGGAAAGGUUCGGCGGUUGGGGAUGGACUCGCGGCUUAUCAGCUUGUUGGUGGGGUAGUGGCUUACCAAGGCUUUGACGGGUAGCCGGCCUGAGAGGGUGACCGGCCACAUUGGGACUGAGAUACGGCCCAGACUCCUACGGGAGGCAGCAGUGGGGAAUAUUGCACAAUGGGCGGAAGCCUGAUGCAGCAACGCCGCGUGCGGGAUGACGGCCUUCGGGUUGUAAACCGCUUUCGCCUGUGACGAAGCGUGAGUGACGGUAAUGGGUAAAGAAGCACCGGCUAACUACGUG